RNA transcript from Hydractinia symbiolongicarpus, 3777 nucleotides. RefSeq lists it as uncharacterized. The transcript is spliced from 10 exons. The record is from RefSeq and is a predicted model, not a curated record. Lineage: Eukaryota; Metazoa; Cnidaria; Hydrozoa; Anthoathecata; Hydractiniidae.
UUGUGUUGCAAAUUUAGUGCAAAAAUUUAACUGUUGUGAGGGAGGACCAUAUGCAAUUAUAUAUACUAAAAAUAAUAAUUUGAUAUUCUACAAGUUCUAUUCUUGUAUGCACUUAAAUGACUGCUUUUUCUGAGUUGAAUUUGAUGGGUUUUAUAUCAAUUUUGUGGAAGAUUUUAUGGCUGAAGACAAUAUAGAACAUGCCAAUUGAACUGAUUUUUGUUCAUAUUUUGAUUUGCUCCUCAUAUACCUUUGUGUUCUACAUUUAUUGUAAACUUUUGUGAGGAAGGACCAUAUAUAUAUACAAUGUUUUCAAAAUAAUGAUUUUUGUUGAUUUGAAAUUUACUCCUUGCUCAUUGCUUUUUCGACAUUUCAGGUUAAAAUGUUUGGUAAAGUCAGUACGGAUCAUUAGACAAAAAAUUGUUUUGUUAACCGGUUAAUUUUUACAUUUUGUGCAUAUUUUUGCGGGAGAGGAUGGUAUGCAACCGAAUAAAUGAUUUUUCAAAGUUUAACUUUUUGUUUUUAGGUGUUUUGUGUUUGUUUAAGUUUGGCUUUUUGAUAUUGUUCAGGUUGUAUUGUUGUAUAAGCAUUUAGGGAAAAGACAAUGUUUAAAAUGCGUAAAGAACUUAUUUCAUAGAUCUGUGCUUACUGUUGCAAGCCUUUCUUUUCGACACUUCAGAUUAAAAUAUUGAAGGUUUUCAACAUAAUCACAUAAUAAGAUGAAUACACAUUUGAGAUAUGUGUUAUUUCUGACAUUAUUAUUAUUGUUGUCGUAACUGUCUGGGUUGUGACUGUCAAUGUUGUAACUUUCUAGUAACUAGAAAAAUGCAUGUCUAAUAUGUUAAAUUUUCUGACGUUAUCGCGCAACGUCAAUAAUACUACUUUAACGUCAAUAUCAUUUAUUAAAUUAAUGAAGCCAUUGCAAUGCACCUAGAAUUUUGAGGCCAAAAAACUUGGAAACGAGGUGGUGACGUCAAUGAUUUUUCACCGCGUGGGUAACUAGGGACCACCUGGGACCAAUUUCGGUAAGUUUCCCAAACCUGGUUCCUUGAAUCCGUUUCGGAAUGGACAGGUUGAUGACGUCAUCACAAAACCCACAAACACCAAUAACUCUGCAACCGUUUGUCAAAAGUUCAUGUUCCUAUACAUUUUCUUCAUCAGCGUUUUAAGAUCUAUACGAGAAAGGCAACAGGGUUAGAAAUUUCUUAAAAAUUUUUUGGAGGGUUUGACGGGACUUUGAUGACGUCAGUAAAAUUUUUAAACCCUUAUAUCUCCUUAGGCGUUCCUCGAAAACAUAUUAUUCUGUACAUUAUUUUGAUCAGCGCUUUAAGCUCUACACAAUAGAGGCAACGUAAAAACAAGGUUCUAAUUUUUUUACAGAUGGGUUGCUGACGUCAUCAAAAUUCAUAUGACGCUUGUUUUUCAAUUUUAUCCUGCCUUAGUGGAUUUUUCCACGGGCUUUAUCGACUAGUCUCUUUAAUAAUACGCUAAGUGUGUCUGUGUGUCUGUGACAGGCAAAGUUGAUAUCGUCAUUUUCCUUUGAUGUUGCCGAAAAAAAUCUUUGAUGUUGCCGAAAAAAAUAUGUCUUCUUUGUCGUGAAAAGCCGCGAGUUUUGUGUGGUUUGUUAAAUGAAGUUCUAGCACAAAGUAACGGAAAUUGUGUUUGCAAAAAAGAUGGCUGUCCUUUUUAAGCAUUUGUCUUCCCUUGCCUUCAAAAUAAAUCUUUACCAGAGCAUUUAAAAAGGAGCAUGGUAUAUAAAUGAAGUAUAGAAAGGUUUCUCUAUUUCGAAGUUCAAUUAAACUUGAAGACAAAAGUGGCUGCAACAAAAAUAUUGAAGAUGUGUCGGUGGUGUUGAAUCACGAGUCGUAUCUUGAAGCUUACGACGUGCGAGCAGAGAACCACUUCCCUUGUCUAAAGGAAACUAGCUUACAAAUAGAAAGACACAGAAUCGUGAUCAAGUACUCAAGACUUUAUGUGGGCAGCACAAUUUGUACACUGGUGAAAUAUCGAUACAGUGGCAAACGAUUCACUGGGUCCAAAAAGGUGUCUGUUUUUGUCGAUGUCUUUUAUACUGGGUUUAAUAACAACGUCUCUAGCAGUAGUCACGCCUGGGAUGUAUAUAGCACGUACGUGUCCAAGGAUGUUCCAGGAUUUUAUCUCUGGGAUACUGAUUUAACAUAUUGCGUUAGACAACAUCCGGACGAUAUAAUGAUGAUGCAGAAAGAAGCUUUAUGUACACUGUUUAAGCAAACCCCAUACAAUUUAGUAUCUAUCUACGGCUUCUGCGCGAACAAAAACUCGAGCACUAUUAUCACGAGUAAAACUUGUGGCAAAGAAAAAAUUUUAUCUGUUGGAUCAUCUUCACUCCGUUGGUUUGAUGACCAAACUUACAUUCACGUUCCCCCGUCCAGUGAACAGAAAACACCAGUAGGAUCUACACAAGACAAUGUCGGCUUCAAGAAAAAAUACAAAGAUAGUUUUGGAUUUAAAGUUUCAAAGGAUACUGCUACUGAUAAAAAUACAGACAUCGAUGACGUCACUAUCUUUUUAUAUGACGAUGAUUUUACUGCGUGUUGUUAUCUCAAUGACAGAGAACAUAGUUGUGUGGUUUACAACAAAGCAGCCAAUCGUGUUACUCGUCUACCUCCUUUGUUUGCGAGUGUUCUUGGGUACGAUGCGUUAAGCAAAACUACUAUUGGUAAAGACACCCAAGGUCGUUACGUGGGAUACCGUCCGAAAGCAAAGCACAGAUUCUUCUAUGUCUCGCAGAAACAUUGGUUGAAGUUAAAGGGCAAAGAAAGUACAGUGUUGUCAAAAGCCUACAAUCGAAGUGUUUUAGCUGAAAGCAAUGCUGAGAAUGAGUUUGAAGUGGGCAGCGAUCUUUACACUGUGACACCACUUGGUUUAUACGAGAUGACACGUCAAACGCAUGUUAUUUUAUGGCUCGUUGAUCAAGAUAACUGCGCUGCUGUAGGUAAAUAACUUCUCAUGUCGUUGUAUCAUUCAAAACCUGACCCCACCAAUGUUUAAAUGCACCAGUACCUUUCCUGAGAUCGGACCUCUUUCAGACCUAUAUAUCUUGCCUAAAAAAAACCCAAGGACAGAAGGUCACACUUUGAAAUUAUACUUCAUGCAAUGAUGAACUGAGAAAACACUUCCUGUAAUAAUACAGUUUAAUUGCGGUUUUGCGGAGCAAAACCCUGGUUGGAUCAUCAGAACUAUUGGCGUUUCAAAGUUGUGAAGCAAUAAAAGCUUACUGCCAUGCUGCCACCACUGGAACAUACUGGAUCGGAACGACGCAAACAGAAUGCAACUUUAAAUAGACAUUUACACGAUUUUAUUUAUUGUUUAUAGAUGAAAACAAAAAACCUUGAACUCUUGCUAAUUGCAAAAAAUACGUUUAGCUGUACGGAUUUUCGCCAAAUAUUGCGUAUUAUCUUCACGAAUUAAAACAAACGGCAUGUCUUUGUACCACGUACGAGAUCUUUGUAACAACAAGAAAAGCGUGAGGCUAAAAUACAUAACAGUAAUGAUUGACAACUAAACAAGACGCCAUUACUAUCAUCAAUGCAAAGAAAAAUGUUUAGAACCAUUAAUCUGUAGGCGUUCCAGUAGUGCAUUAAUUUUGCAAAUUGUGUAUAUAAUUUAGAGAGAGACUUUUCUCGAAAUUUGCGGCUAGUCAUCACGAAAUAUACUUUUGAGGUAGAGGAGAUUUAUGGCGCAUUUUUAUAUGUAAUUUUUGACACCAAAAAAGAAAAUACAUUAGCACAUAAUGUUGAA